UGGGGAAUAUUGGACAAUGGGCGCAAGCCUGAUCCAGCCAUGCCGCGUGAGUGAUGAAGGCCCUAGGGUUGUAAAGCUCUUUCACCGGUGAAGAUAAUGACGGUAACCGGAGAAGAAGCCCCGGCCAACUUCGUGCCAGCAGCCGCGGUAAUACGAAGGGGGCUAGCGUUGUUCGGAUUUACUGGGCGUAAAGCGCACGUAGGCGGACUAUUAAGCCAGGGGUGAAAUCCCGGGGCUCAACCCCGGAACUGCCUUUGAUACUGGUAGUCUUGAGUUCGAGAGAGGUGAGUGGAAUUCCGAGUGUAGAGGUGAAAUUCGUAGAUAUUCGGAGGAACACCAGUGGCGAAGGCGGCUCACUGGCUCGAUACUGACGCUGAGGUGCGAAAGCGUGGGGAGCAAACAGG
RNAcentral lists this ribosomal RNA (404 nucleotides) under Actinomycetes bacterium. Its description in RNAcentral is "Actinobacteria bacterium partial 16S ribosomal RNA". It matches the Rfam family "Bacterial small subunit ribosomal RNA", at positions 355 to 776 of the family's 1533-position model. The record is from RNAcentral. Lineage: Bacteria; Bacillati; Actinomycetota; Actinomycetes.